UCCGUAGGUGAACCUGCGGAGGGAUCAUUACAAGAGCGCCCGGGCUUCGGCCUGGUUAUUCAUAACCCUUUGUUGUCCGACUCUGUUGCCUCCGGGGCGACCCUGCCUUCGGGCGGGGGCCCCGGGUGGACACUUCAAACUCUUGCGUAACUUUGCAGUCUGAGUAAACUUAAUUAAUAAAUUAAAACUUUUAACAACGGAUCUCUUGGUUCUGACAUCGAUGAAGAACGCAGCGAAAUGCGAUAAGUAAUGUGAAUUGCAGAAUUCAGUGAAUCAUCGAAUCUUAGAGCGCACAUUGCGCCCCCUGGUAUUCCGGGGGGCAUGCCUGUUCGAGCGUCAUUUCACCACUCAAGCCUCGCUUGGUAUCGGGCAACGCGGUCCGCCGCGUGCCUCAAAUCGUCCGGCUGGGUCUUCUGUCCCCUAAGCGUUGUGGAAACUAUUCGCUAAAGGGUGUUCGGGAGGCUACGCCGUAAAACAACCCCAUUUCUAAGGUUGACCUCGGAUCAGGUAGGGAUACCCGCUGAACUUAAGCAUAUCAAUAAGCGGAGGA
Molecule: ribosomal RNA, 550 nt
Filed under: uncultured fungus
Lineage: Eukaryota; Fungi
Description: eukaryotic LSU rRNA
Rfam family: 5.8S ribosomal RNA (bases 186-339)
Source: RNAcentral